This 149-nucleotide small nuclear RNA is filed under the name Varanus komodoensis (Komodo dragon). RNAcentral describes it as "U1 spliceosomal RNA (ENSVKKG00000010003.1)". It matches the Rfam family "U1 spliceosomal RNA". Rfam says of the family: U1 is a small nuclear RNA (snRNA) component of the spliceosome (involved in pre-mRNA splicing). Lineage: Eukaryota; Metazoa; Chordata; Lepidosauria; Squamata; Varanidae. The record is from RNAcentral.
GGACUUACCUAGCAGGAGAGCCACCAUAAUCAUGAUGGUGGUUUUCCCAGAGAAAGGCCACGGCGCUUGGGUGUGUUGAUCCUUGUGAUUUCUCCAAAUGCGGUUGCAUUAUUUGCAGCAGAGGAGGUCUGCAUCCACGCUUUCCCCUG